GACGAACGCUGGCGGCGUGCUUAACACAUGCAAGUCGAACGGAAAAGCCCUGCUUUUGUGGGGUUCUCGAGUGGCGAACGGGUGAGUAACACGUGAGUAACCUGCCCUUGACUUUGGGAUAACUUCAGGAAACUGGGGCUAAUACCGGAUAGAAGCUCCUGCUGCAUGGGGGGGGUUGGAAAGUUUCGGCGGUUGGGGAUGGAAUCGCGGCUUAUCAGCUGGUUGGGGGGGUAGUGGCUUACCAAGGCUUUGACGGGUAGCCGGCCUGAGAGGGUGACCGGCCACAUUGGGACUGAGAUACGGCCCAGAAUCCUACGGGAGGCAGUAGUGGGGAAUAUUGCACAAUGGGCGGAAGCCUGAUGCAGCAACGCCGCGUGCGGGAUGACGGCCUUCGGGUUGUAAACCGCUUUCGCCUGUGACGAAGCGUGAGUGACGGUAAUGGGUAAAGAAGCACCGGCUAACUACGUG
RNAcentral lists this ribosomal RNA (468 nucleotides) under uncultured bacterium. RNAcentral's name for it is "partial 16S ribosomal RNA". It matches the Rfam family "Bacterial small subunit ribosomal RNA", at positions 28 to 507 of the family's 1533-position model. The record is from RNAcentral.